RNAcentral lists this ribosomal RNA (455 nucleotides) under uncultured bacterium. RNAcentral's name for it is "bacterial SSU rRNA". It matches the Rfam family "Bacterial small subunit ribosomal RNA", at positions 32 to 507 of the family's 1533-position model. The record is from RNAcentral.
AAUCAACGCUGGCGGCGUGCCUAACACAUGCAAGUCGAACGAGAACGGUUCCUUCGGGGAUUUAGUAAAGUGGCGAACGGGUGAGUAACGCGUGGAUGAUCUGCCCUCAAGUGGGGGAUAACUCGGGAAACCCGGGCUAAUACCGCAUAAGCCCUUCGGGGGAAAAGUAUUUAUAUUGCUUGAGGAGGAGUCCGCGUCCGAUUAGCUAGUUGGUGGGGUAAGAGCUCACCAAGGCGACGAUUGGUAGCCGGUCUGAGAGGACGGACGGCCACACUGGAACUGAGACACGGUCCAGACUCCUACGGGAGGCAGCAGUGGGGUAAGUUUUGGGCAAUGGGGGCAACCCUGACCCAGCAACGCCGCGUGGAGGAAGAAGGUUUUCGGAUCGUAAACUCCUGUCCCGAGGGACGAAGCAAGUGACGGUACCUCGGGAGGAAGCCCCGGCUAACUCCGUG